UACGUAGGGGGCUAGCGUUGUCCGGAAUCAUUGGGCGUAAAGAGCGCGUAGGCGGCCAGAUAAGUCCGGUGUGAAAGUCAAAGGCUCAACCUUUGAAUGCCGCUGGAAACUGUCUGGCUAGAGUCCGGGAGGGGCGAGUGGAAUUCCUGGUGUAGCGGUGAAAUGCGCAGAUAUCAGGAAGAACACCUAUGGCGAAGGCAGCUCUCUGGGACGGUACUGACGCUGAGACGCGAAAGCGUGGGGAGCGAACAGG
RNAcentral lists this ribosomal RNA (253 nucleotides) under uncultured bacterium. RNAcentral describes it as "partial 16S ribosomal RNA". It matches the Rfam family "Bacterial small subunit ribosomal RNA", at positions 524 to 776 of the family's 1533-position model. The record is from RNAcentral.